UUGUAAAAAUUAAGAUAUUUAUUUUUCAAGAAGCUAUUAUGAAUAAUUUCAUGGCAACAAAUUUCAAAAUUUCAUGGACAAAUUACUCAAAACUAUGUUAUCAAAAUAAUUUUAAAGGAAAAAUGGAAUAAUCAUUAAAGAAAUUUGAUUGAUAUUUUAAAAUCUUCCCAGAACACAAACACUAAACCCAGAGAAGUUUUCAGGAACGUUCUACUGAACAUUCAGGAAAAAAAUAAUUCCAAUUUUAUGUAAAUUAUUCCAGAACAUAGAAAAAGAGGAAGCACUCUCCAAUUAAUCUCAAUCAUGAAGACAAAUUUGAAAAAUCCAAAGCAAGAUAGUAAAGCAAAUUCAGCAAUAACUAGAAAUCAUUAUCAAGCUGAGUUUCUUCCAGAAUGUCAGGGUGGCUUAACAAUGGAGGAAAAAGAUCACAUCUCAAAAGAUGCAGGAAAAAAGGUUUGGUAAACCUUGGCAGCCAUUUGUAAUUUUUAUUAAAAAUAAAUUUUAGAAAGCUAGGAGUAGAGAACUCUUUUAACUUAGUAAGUGACAUUUACAAAAAGCCUACAGCACGUAUCUUACUUUAUGCUGAAUUACUAAAUGAUUUCCUUUAAGAUUAUAAACAAGAGCGGGAUAAUCACUAUCAUGAUUUCAACAUUGUACUGGGGGCCUAGCAUAUGCAGAAUAGCAGGAAAAAAAGUGAUUAGGAUUGGAAAUCCACCCUAUAGUAACGCUAAGUAAGUCACAACCUCUCUUUGAGUGUAGAUGAGACCUGAGACUUGCUUCCAAUGACAGAAUAUGGCUAAGGCGAUGGGGAUAGUCACUGCUUUGACUGGUUCAUAUUAUAUGGCAAAAGUAACAGAAUAAUUACUCUUGCGAUUAUGUGAUGUUACAGAAGAUUCCUUGUUAGCGGACCAGAGUGCACUAUCAUGUUGUAAGAAGGCCUGUGAAUGAGCCACCUGGCAAGAAACCUUGGGGACCACUAGGAGCUGAUGGAAACCCCCAGCUGACAGCCAGAACAAGGCAGGGACGCAAUCCUACAGCCUCAGCUGAAUCCUGCCAACAACCAUCUGAACUUAGAAGAGGACACUAAGUUUUAAAAAGGACCACAGACUGACUGUCACCUUGAUUACAGCCUUGUGAGACCCUGAGCAGGAGACCAACAGGAACUGUGAGAUAGAGACCUGUCUGUGAGUGGCUGGGAGACCUGUUUAAUUCUGGGGUAUAGAAUUAAGAUGGCCGUCUGCCUGUAAGUAGACAUAAACUGCAUUCUCCCAAAUCAGCUUUGUUCAUAAUAAAAGUAAUAUUCUGGC
Molecule: non-coding RNA, 1307 nt
Organism: Chlorocebus sabaeus (green monkey)
Lineage: Eukaryota; Metazoa; Chordata; Mammalia; Primates; Cercopithecidae
Source: RefSeq, a predicted model, not a curated record